Long non-coding RNA from Strongylocentrotus purpuratus (purple sea urchin), 468 nucleotides. RefSeq lists it as uncharacterized. The transcript is spliced from 4 exons. The record is from RefSeq and is a predicted model, not a curated record. NCBI's taxonomy places the organism in Eukaryota, Metazoa, Echinodermata, Echinoidea, Camarodonta, Strongylocentrotidae.
GACAAGGAUGAUAAGAAUAGAACUCCACGUUACUGGUCAAGAUGACAAGCUAAUCCAUUGAGUUUGAUAUAGUUCAAUGGUCAUGUUCAAUGCGAGCGUCUUUGAUCAUUAUCUGGUAUAAAUACCAACAGCCUUCACUGGAUCUGCAGACUUGUCUCACAGAAUUUCGCCAUUCUUCAACACGAUUCUGCAAUUAUACACAUUUCAAUCCACCAUGAACAUUGACUUUGAGCACCCGUCAAUGUACGGUGCAGUACGCUACAGGUGCGUAUGUCGGACCAAAGCCAUAGGACAAGAACGAUGUAAGAGAAAAAGUCGCCAUGCCACAAAAACGUGUUGGCAACACAAGGCCGAGCUGACGUACGAAGAGCUGGUCAACCUGUACCUGAACAGGAUACCGCAAUGUACAUCCAUCACAAGGAAAGGUUCGAGAUGUAGCAGAGAUUCCCGAUUCGCGGGCGACGCCCC